UACCUACGGGGGGCAGCAGUGGGGAAUAUUGCACAAUGGGCGGAAGCCUGAUGCAGCAACGCCGCGUGCGGGAUGAAGGCCUUCGGGUUGUAAACCGCUUUCAGUCGGGACGAAGUUGACGGUACCGACAGAAGAAGCACCGGCUAACUACGUGCCAGCAGCCGCGGUGAUACGUAGGGUGCGAGCGUUGUCCGGAUUUAUUGGGCGUAAAGAGCUCGUAGGUGGUUUGUUGCGUCGGAAGUGAAAACUUGGGGCUUAACCCUAAGCUUGCUUUCGAUACGGGCGGACUUGAGGGAGGUAGGGGAGAACGGAAUUCCUGGUGGAGCGGUGGAAUGCGCAGAUAUCAGGAGGAACACCGGUGGCGAAGGCGGUUCUCUGGACCUUUCCUGACGCUGAGGAGCGAAAGCGUGGGGAGCAAACAGGCUUAGAUACCCCUGUAGUCAC
Molecule: ribosomal RNA, 444 nt
Filed under: uncultured Propionicimonas sp.
Lineage: Bacteria; Bacillati; Actinomycetota; Actinomycetes; Propionibacteriales; Nocardioidaceae
Description: bacterial SSU rRNA
Rfam family: Bacterial small subunit ribosomal RNA
Source: RNAcentral